Molecule: long non-coding RNA, 450 nt
Organism: Mauremys reevesii (Reeves's turtle)
Lineage: Eukaryota; Metazoa; Chordata; Testudines; Geoemydidae
Exons: 4
Source: RefSeq, a predicted model, not a curated record
ACCUCAGGGUAUAAACGAGGAAGGCCAAGGAAGAACUGUCAGAAAACAGUGACAGAGAAUAUUGAAUGCUUUGUCAUCAUCUGGGAACAAGUAUCACAACUAGCAAGUGACCUUAAAUCAACAGAGGAACUCAACUGUCCAAUCUGUCAGCUAUUCAGAAGGAACUAAGGUCUAAGGAAUUUCCUGUAAGCGGUGUGAAUGGUGAUAUGAAAAUAAGCAUCUUGGUGGUCGAGGGCUGAAAAUCAGUCCCCCUUUGCAGUGCUGCAAGUAUCGUGACUAGUGUGACCAUCUUGAACUUUUGAGAGCAUAUGAAUUUAUUGAGCUUCGUAAGGUCCAAGGUGUGGUAUAAAUCCCCAGAAUGCACAGAGUGGCCUGAGAGUCCUUCAUUGAGUGGAUCACCUCAUCAGUCUUAUUCAAAAACGACAUUUCUUGAUCAAAUGUUCCUCCAAC